Molecule: non-coding RNA, 1395 nt
Organism: Danio rerio (zebrafish)
Lineage: Eukaryota; Metazoa; Chordata; Actinopteri; Cypriniformes; Danionidae
Source: Ensembl
AUGACCACCAAAUUGUUCCUCUACUUCUUACUUCUGUCAGUGUUUCGAGCAUGUUCUCCAACAUUUGCUUCUGAUGAUGAUGAGUAUGACGACGUUACUGUGAAUCAAAUGUUGGCCCCCAAAACCCACGAGACAGAUGCAACGCAAAUACUAAACAACUUAUUAAAGGAGUAUGACAAAAAACUGCGCCCGGAUAUUGGAGUUAAACCGACAGUCAUUGAUGUCGACAUCUACGUAAAUAGCAUUGGACCAGUGUCAUCUAUAAAUAUGGAAUACCAGAUUGACAUCAUUUUUGCGCAGACAUGGACAGAUAGCCGGCUCAGAUAUAACAGCACUAUGAAAAUAUUGACUUUAAACAGUAACAUGGUUGGACUCAUUUGGUUACCGGAUACCAUCUUCAGAAAUUCUAAGAGUGCAGAUUCACAUUGGAUUACUACGCCAAAUCAGCUGCUCAGAAUAUGGAAUGAUGGGAAAAUACUUUACACUUUGAGAUUGACUAUUAAUGCAGAGUGCCAGCUUCAGCUUCAUAACUUUCCCAUGGAUGAACACUCCUGCCCCCUCAUCUUUUCCAGCUAUGGAUACCCACGAGAUGAAAUGAUUUACAAGUGGAGGAGGAACUCGGUGCAGGCGGCCGAUCAGAAGUCGUGGAGGCUUUACCAGUUUGACUUCAUGGGCCUGAGGAACACCACUGAUGUUAUCAAGACGACCGCAGGUGACUAUGUGGUGAUGACUGUAUAUUUUGACCUUAGUAGAAGAAUGGGAUACUUCACAAUUCAGACCUAUAUCCCUUGCAUAUUGACUGUGGUUCUUUCCUGGGUCUCCUUCUGGAUAAAAAAGGAUGCAACACCAGCUAGAACAGCACUAGUUUCCUGCUUUAAGUCCAUGUCCUGUCCUGGUAAAUGUCACUGUUGUCAAGGAAUAACAACGGUAUUAACCAUGACUACUCUCAGCACGGUGGCUCGGACAUCGCUGCCCAGGGUCUCAUAUGUCACAGCGAUGGACCUGUUCGUCACUGUCUGCUUCUUGUUUGUUUUCGCGGCUCUCAUGGAGUAUGCCACACUCAAUUAUUACUCCUACAGCGCCCGCAGACCAACCUGCAACAAGACCAAACGAUCGAACUACUCGGUACUGGACGUGGGUCCUCCUCCCACUGUUAUCACUCUCAACAACUCCAUGUACUGGCAGGAGUUUGACGAUGCCUGCGUUUAUGAGUGCCUGGACGGAAAAGACUGCCAGAGUUUCUUCUGCUGCUACGAGGAGUGCAAAGAUGGAGCGUGGCGAAAGGGCCGUGUGCAUAUAGACAUCCUGGAACUCGAUGCAUACUCUCGUGUCUUCUUUCCCACCUCUUUCCUAUUGUUCAAUGUUGUCUACUGGGUAGGCUACUUGUAUCUUUAG